Molecule: transfer RNA, 84 nt
Filed under: Actinomycetota bacterium
Lineage: Bacteria; Bacillati; Actinomycetota
Description: tRNA-Leu
Rfam family: tRNA
About the family: Transfer RNA (tRNA) molecules are approximately 80 nucleotides in length.
Source: RNAcentral
GCGGGCGUGGCGGAACGGCAGACGCGCCGGGUUUAGGUCCCGGUCCCUUCGGGGGUGGAGGUUCGACUCCUCUCGCCCGCACCA